GGAUUAGAUACCCUGGUAGUCCACGCUGUAAACGAUGAUAACUCGCUGUUGGCGAUAUACUGUCAGCGGCCAAGCGAAAGCGUUAAGUUAUCCACCUGGGGAGUACGAUCGCAAGGUUGAAACUCAAAGGAAUUGACGGGGGCCCGCACAAGCGGUGGAGCAUGUGGUUUAAUUCGAUGAUACGCGAGGAACCUUACCUGGGCUUAAAUGUAGAAUGACCGGCCGGGAAACCGGCCUUUCUUCGGACAAUUUACAAGGUGCUGCAUGGCUGUCGUCAGCUCGUGCCG
This 287-nucleotide ribosomal RNA is filed under the name uncultured bacterium. RNAcentral's name for it is "partial 16S ribosomal RNA". It matches the Rfam family "Bacterial small subunit ribosomal RNA", at positions 775 to 1067 of the family's 1533-position model. The record is from RNAcentral.